Molecule: ribosomal RNA, 260 nt
Filed under: uncultured bacterium
Lineage: Bacteria
Description: partial 16S ribosomal RNA
Rfam family: Bacterial small subunit ribosomal RNA
Source: RNAcentral
AGUGGCGGACGGGUGAGUAACGCGUGGGUAACCUGCCUCAUACAGGGGGAUAACAGUUAGAAAUGACUGCUAAUACCGCAUAAGCGCACAGGGACACAUGUUCCGGUGUGAAAAACUCCGGUGGUAUGAGAUGGACCCGCGUCUGAUUAGCUGGUUGGCGGGGUAACGGCCCACCAAGGCGACGAUCAGUAGCCGACCUGAGAGGGUGACCGGCCACAUUGGGACUGAGACACGGCCCAAACUCCUACGGAAGGCAGCAG